GAUGAACGCUGGCGGCGUGCCUAAUACAUGCAAGUCGAGCGAACAGAUGAGGAGCUUGCUCCUCUGACGUUAGCGGCGGACGGGUGAGUAACACGUGGAUAACCUACCUAUAAGACUGGGAUAACUUCGGGAAACCGGAGCUAAUACCGGAUAAUAUAUUGAACCGCAUGGUUCAAUAGUGAAAGACGGUUUUGCUGUCACUUAUAGAUGGAUCCGCGCCGCAUUAGCUAGUUGGUAAGGUAACGGCUUACCAAGGCAACGAUGCGUAGCCGACCUGAGAGGGGGUUCGGCGACCCAGGAAAUGCGACACGGUGCACACUCCUCCGGGAGGCAGCAGUAGGGGGUCUUCCGCGAUAGGCGCAAGCCUGACGGAGCAACACCGCGUGAGUGAUGAGGAUGUUCGGGUAGUAAAACUCUGUUAUUAGGGAAGAACAAAAAUGUAAGAAAAAAUGCACGUCUUGACGGUGCCCAAUAAGAAAACCCCGGCUAACUACGUG
This 497-nucleotide ribosomal RNA is filed under the name uncultured bacterium. RNAcentral describes it as "partial 16S ribosomal RNA". It matches the Rfam family "Bacterial small subunit ribosomal RNA", at positions 28 to 507 of the family's 1533-position model. The record is from RNAcentral.